GCACUGAUGCUAAACGAACCCUGUCUAAGAUGAGCAGCCUUCUGGUGAAUUUGGAAAUGUGCUCUCCAGGUGCCAGAUCAAUGCUUAUUAUGAAGGGCAUUUAGCUUUGUUUGAGUUCAUAUUUCUCCUCUUAUUGUUUUGCAGAGUUUUUGUUUCAGUCUCUGUGGUUAAAUAGACUGAUGACUUUUGGGUAAAAGAAAGGCUUUGUCUAGUUAUAACAAUUUCACUGCAUGCUACUGCUGUUAGCCUCUGCAAUGUAACACUUAUAAGUGUGAAAAUAAAUGCACCAUGUGAAAAUUAUUAUUGUUA
Populus trichocarpa (black cottonwood) is the source of this 309-nucleotide long non-coding RNA. RefSeq lists it as uncharacterized. The transcript is spliced from 2 exons. NCBI's taxonomy places the organism in Eukaryota, Viridiplantae, Streptophyta, Magnoliopsida, Malpighiales, Salicaceae. The record is from RefSeq and is a predicted model, not a curated record.